ACUCAGGCGGCUCUUAAUAGAUGGUAUGAAAAGGGUGUCUUUUCCCUCUGCCUCACCCCUCUCAAUAGUACAAAUAAAACCCCCCACAAGAUUAAAGAAGAGAGUUAAAGCAAGAAUCCUCAUGACAAGGGGUGGCUACUCUGGCAUUUUCAAGUCUUGAGGUUGCUGUUUUCCAGGGGGUGAUGUGAUAUGACCCUAGCCAACAUGUAGAGCUGGUUUUGUGGACUGUGCCUGUGUGCUUGUGAGAAAGCAGAGCGACAGAGGGAGGCAGAGUUAGAGCUAGUUGCAGAAGGAAAGUGCAAUUUCUGAACAGGGGCAGACCUGCCUGACUUGGAUAUCAGCUUCUCCAUGAAAAUAUGCAGUGCCUAAAAUUUACACUGAUCGAUUUGUUCACGAGAAAGGACAUUUCUAAAAGAGCCAGGAGACUGCCCCCAGAACCAAGAGGAGUACUGGAGAGCAGAAGAUGAAGAAAAACCUUUAAACAGCAGAGCAGUGAAGUGGAGGGAGAGGCGGCCCCUCUCCUUUGCCAGAGACUCCCACUCCCAGAUGCAGGCUGGAGCGAUCCCUCAUAAUUUAAGCUGACACCCCUCAGCGGAGAUGAAAGGAACACCACUCGCUGCUCUCCAACAACAAAUGUCAGCAUCCCUGGAGGCCGUUUAGACACAAACGCAGCAUAAAUCUGACUCCUAGUGGGGAAGUCCAGAGAUUAAGUCUCCACACACAGCCUACCAGAGUGAAAUGAAUUUGCUUGGCACAAAGUUU
Long non-coding RNA from Homo sapiens (human), 762 nucleotides. RefSeq annotates it as LMX1A antisense RNA 1. Lineage: Eukaryota; Metazoa; Chordata; Mammalia; Primates; Hominidae. The transcript is spliced from 3 exons. The record is from RefSeq and is marked validated.